GUGCUCACUUUAGCAGCACAUAUGCUAAAAUUGGAACAUUACAGAGGUGAUUAGCAUGGCUUCUGCAAAUUCAUGGAGCAUUCUAUAUUUUU
RNAcentral lists this small nuclear RNA (92 nucleotides) under Cervus elaphus hippelaphus. Lineage: Eukaryota; Metazoa; Chordata; Mammalia; Artiodactyla; Cervidae. The record is from RNAcentral. RNAcentral also lists the same sequence under 1 other name.